UCUCCGUUGGUGAACCAGCGGAGGGAUCAUUACCGAGUUUACAACUCCCAAACCCCUGUGAACAUACCUAUCGUUGCCUCGGCGGUGCCCGCUCCGGCGGCCCGCCAGAGGACCCCCAAACUCUUGUUUUAUACAGUAUCUUCUGAGUAACACGAUUAAAUAAAUCAAAACUUUCAACAACGGAUCUCAUGGUUCUG
RNAcentral lists this unclassified non-coding RNA (197 nucleotides) under plant metagenome. Its description in RNAcentral is "partial contains small subunit ribosomal RNA, internal transcribed spacer 1, and 5.8S ribosomal RNA". The record is from RNAcentral.